UCCCCAUAAUUCAGCACUGCGCGGUUAGAAUGUAAACAAAUGUAUGAUUCGCAUCGGACGACUAGGCUGUUGCACCUCUGCGGACCCUUACUACGGCAAGCGGGUUUGACAGCAUGAGCAAAGAAACACAAACGAGGACUUCUAUAAAUCAAAAGUUAGUCGAAAUGGGUGAACGAGAGCGGUUGAAAGAGUUGCUAAGAGCCAAGCUGGUUGAGUGUGGCUGGAGGGAUCAGCUGAAGGCACAAUGCAAAGAUGUAUCAGAGAUAAGGGGUUGGAACACGUGACAGUUGAGGAUCUGGUGACAGAAAUCACGCCCAAAGGAAGAGCGCUGGUGCCUGACAGUGUCAAGAAAGAACUCCUGCAGAGAAUACGGGCUUUUCUGGCGCAGCAUUCCACCUUGUAGAUGAGACCCUGUAGUGUUGUAAAUGAGUCGGUCCCUGUAGUGUUGUAAUGUGAUGUACGUAGCUUUGGAUGUACAAAGACCUACAACUUUUUUUAUAACCAUGUAACUUUUUAAUUGAUUUAGUUUUGUAAAAAAUGUAUUGUUGUUACAGAGUGUUUUUUGUUUUUUUUGCCCGAAGUAAUUUUAUUAUAAAAUAGCUUGUAUAUGUGUUUUUAGAACCUGAAUACAUCUUGUUUUUUCCCAGAUAUGACAAAAAUAAUGAUAGUAACAAAUAAUAUCAGUUCAGAACAAAGUCAUUUCUUAAUGCCAGAGUUUAAAUCACUUUUAGAACAGCGAUGUAACCAGAAACCGAGGCAACAUGAGAAUGUAGACAAGAAGUAGCCAUGACAACAACACAGUCAUAAUAAAGGAUGCCAUUCACUCCCUCA
Long non-coding RNA from Clupea harengus (Atlantic herring), 831 nucleotides. RefSeq lists it as uncharacterized. The transcript has 5 exons. NCBI's taxonomy places the organism in Eukaryota, Metazoa, Chordata, Actinopteri, Clupeiformes, Clupeidae. The record is from RefSeq and is a predicted model, not a curated record.